Non-coding RNA from Corylus avellana, 2514 nucleotides. Lineage: Eukaryota; Viridiplantae; Streptophyta; Magnoliopsida; Fagales; Betulaceae. The record is from RefSeq and is a predicted model, not a curated record.
AUUCAGUUUAUUUCGGCCCAAAAUUCUAUUUUUGGACUCAUAUUUUUUCUUUUUAGGUGUUAUUUCCUCUUAUACUUAUGCUUGCAACCGCUAUCAUACAUUAACUUUUGCAACUUUGUGACUCGGAAAGUCGCAAAAUUCGAAUUUCUCUUUUUGUCUAGCUAAGAGACUCCAAUAUUUAUUUUAUUCAGUUUAUUUCGGCCCAAAACACAAUUUCUAGACUUGUAUUUUUUCGUUGCAGGUGUUUUUUCCUCUUAUACUAAUGCUUUCAACCGCUAUCAUGCAUUAACUUUUGCAACUUCGAGACUCGGAAAGUUCCGAAAUUCAAAUUUAUCUAUUUUGUUCUAUCUAAGAGACUCUAAUAGUUAUCUUAUUCAGUUUAUUUCGGCCAGAAACAUCAUCCUUACACACCUCGUCCCAUCAACAACCCAACUCCGACCACCCCCAUCUUCACUUUUCUUUUCAAAUUUUUGCACAGUGUAGGUGUUUAUCCACCCACAUUGUCGCGCUGUAUUGGUUUUUGUGUUUUUGCAUGAGGUUUUGAGCGGUGUUGCCUUGUGUUGCAAAGUUGACCAUCUCCAGUGCACACCAACUGUUCGAUAAAAGUUUCCACUCAAGCUCAAAAUGCCUAGAACCCGUGCUUCAUCCCCCAGGGGGUCGAGGCCCAAGCUAUUUCUCCCUCACCCACUUUUGAAGAGCAGGAGCUACUGUUUGAAACUACCUUCGCCAUUUGCGAAGACUUUCAAAACCAUAAGGCGACUCAAUGGGCGGUAACCGAGUUUAAGCGUAGGGGACUCAAGAAGCUGUUCAAACCGGUCACCUCUACUGUCUACUAGAAGUUGGUCAUUGAAUUCUAUACCAAACUUUCCCAUGACUGCAACAAUUUGGCCGCUCUCUCUUUUAAGGUAUACGGCCAAGCCAUUGACGUGACAAGGGCCGACAUUGUCGCAGCCCUUCAAUGCAAUGAUGAAUACCCUCUAGAAGCCGUACAUCUUGCCGAGCAACCGCCCCGAUUCUAUGUGGCGGAAAUCAUUAAAGAUAUGUGCCAAGGGCAAUAUGCAGACGCCCACCAUAAUGCCGGCAGUCGAUCCAAGCUACCCCAAUGGCUUUGGUUUGUGGACUCCAUCUUGCAUUGCAAUGCCUUUCCCUUGGGACACAAAACUCAGAAGCGUGAUCAAUUUCUACACACCCUCUACGCCUUCCACAACGAUGCUUUUGGUACUCCAUUCCCGACAUCAUUUGGAACCAAAUACAUAAAUUUUGGAAUUGAGUGCACAUUGGGGGAGCAAAGUCUACUCAUUCAUGGGGGUUGCCUUUUCCACACCUCAUCACGUAUAUUCUUAAAAAAAAGGGCAUCAAGGGCACCGUAGCAGACGAGCCAGCAACUACUACUAUAUUUGGCAUUCGCCAAUGGAAUAAGAGUUGCUCCCAUAUGCCCCGAAUACUCUCAGCACCAGCAACUGGUGAAAGAGGGAAUGAGGUCGAGCCAAUGGCCGAAGAUGAACCGGCAGCUAAGUCGGCAGCAGCAGAAAAGGAGGAGGCCCCAAUCAUCUUUCAAGCCACACAGUACCGCUCCCUUAGUGAAGAGAUGGUAGGCUUCGAAGAAAAUUGGCUAAUCAAAGAAGGGAAGCUCGGGAAGAUAAAGCACUGAUGGAUCAACGACUAGCUGCCUUGGAAGACUUGAUGCAGACCAUUCUUAGCUGAUUACCACCACCAUCUGAAGCAUCUACUUCGGGACAGCACUAAGCAAGGACCACUGUCUGGCUGAAGGCGUAAAACUUAGCGCUCAUGGGAGGCACCCCAUAAUUUAUCCUUUCAUUUUGUUUAGUGUGUUUUAAAUUCAAUUUUUAUUUAUGUUUUGUUUCUUUUUACUUGUUUGUGUGUUUUCUUAUUUUGUAGGAACAAGUGUGCUUCACUUCAAGUUUGGGGGUGUGCUAUGAGCCAUGCUUCCCAAGAUCAUGUCGACCGUCUCCUGGGCUUUUGGAAGAAAAUGAAGUAAAUCUAGAAGAUUUGGGCUUAAAGAGAGAAGAUGGGAAAAAUGGAGCCCCUAAUACUGCGAUUGAUCACAGGUUCCCUGCGAUCGAGCGCAAUACCAGAAAAGACGAAGCACAAAUCAGGCAAUGAGCGCUUGAUCGCAUCAAUUGCAACCCGUGAGUGCUCGAUUGCAGCCCAUGCGCCGGAGACACCUCAAAGCUGUGGCCAUGAUGCUAAUAUUUCAUAUUAGGGUUUUUCAACUCCCACUCAAAAAGUUUUGAAACCUUACGAAAUUACUAGGUUUACUAGUUUGUUAAAGACUUUUAAAGUCUAUAAAUAGACCCUUAAGUCUCUAGAAUAAGAGGCUUGUAAGGAGAAGAAUUGGAGCUCUUCAAGUUCAAGUUUUGGGUUUAUGCUUUUCCUUUUAUAAUUUUAUUUAUUAAAAAUGUUUAACAUCAACUCUAUGUGUAACUAAUUUAUUUAGUAGGGAUAGAUUGAAGCUCUAGUUAUAUUUAGUUAAUAUUUCAAUAUUUGCACUUU